Molecule: ribosomal RNA, 253 nt
Filed under: uncultured bacterium
Lineage: Bacteria
Description: partial 16S ribosomal RNA
Rfam family: Bacterial small subunit ribosomal RNA
Source: RNAcentral
UACAGAGAGUGCAAACGUUGUUCGGAAUUACUGGGCUUAAAGCGCACGUAGGCGGCGUCGUAAGUGUCGGGUGAAAUCCCACGGCUCACCCGUGGAACUGCCCGGCAUACUGCGGCGCUAGAGUGUGGUAGGGAAGAGCGGAACUCCUGGUGGAGCGGUGAAAUGCGUAGAUAUCAGGAGGAACACCGGUGGCGAAGGCGGGUCUCUGGGCCGAUAUUGACGCUGAGGAGCGAAAGCGUGGGGAGCAAACAGG